UCCCGGUUGGCUUAGUGGGUAAAGAACCUGCCUGUAAUGCAGGAGACGCCAGAGGUAUGGGUUCGAUUCCUGGGUCAGGAA
Bos taurus (domestic cattle) is the source of this 81-nucleotide non-coding RNA. NCBI's taxonomy places the organism in Eukaryota, Metazoa, Chordata, Mammalia, Artiodactyla, Bovidae. The record is from Rfam.